Molecule: ribosomal RNA, 2917 nt
Filed under: Salmonella enterica subsp. enterica serovar Adjame
Lineage: Bacteria; Pseudomonadati; Pseudomonadota; Gammaproteobacteria; Enterobacterales; Enterobacteriaceae
Description: 23S ribosomal RNA
Rfam family: Bacterial large subunit ribosomal RNA
Source: RNAcentral
GGGUUGUGAGGUUAAGCGACUAAGCGUACACGGUGGAUGCCCGGCAGUCAGAGGCGAUGAAGGGCGUGCUAAUCUGCGAUAAGCGCCGGUAAGGUGAUAUGAACCGUUAUAACCGGCGAUACCCGAAUGGGGAAACCCAGUGUGAUUCGUCACACUAUCAUUAACUGAAUCCAUAGGUUAAUGAGGCGAACCGGGGAACUGAAACAUCUAAGUACCCCGAGGAAAAGAAAUCAACCGAGAUUCCCCAGUAGCGGCGAGCGAACGGGGAGGAGCCCAGAGCCUGAAUCAGCAUGUGUGUUAGUGGAAGCGUCUGGAAAGGCGCGCGAUACAGGGUGACAGCCCCGUACACAAAAGCGCAUGUGCUGUGAGCUCGAUGAGUAGGGCGGGACACGUGGUAUCCUGUCUGAAUAUGGGGGACCAUCCUCCAAGGCUAAAUACUCCUGACUGACCGAUAGUGAACCAGUACCGUGAGGGAAAGGCGAAAAGAACCCCGGCGAGGGGAGUGAAAAAGAACCUGAAACCGUGUACGUACAAGCAGUGGGAGCACCCUUCGGGGUGUGACUGCGUACCUUUUGUAUAAUGGGUCAGCGACUUAUAUUCUGUAGCAAGGUUAACCGUAUAGGGGAGCCGCAGGGAAACCGAGUCUUAAUUGGGCGUUAAGUUGCAGGGUAUAGACCCGAAACCCGGUGAUCUAGCCAUGGGCAGGUUGAAGGUUGGGUAACACUAACUGGAGGACCGAACCGACUAAUGUUGAAAAAUUAGCGGAUGACCUGUGGCUGGGGGUGAAAGGCCAAUCAAACCGGGAGAUAGCUGGUUCUCCCCGAAAGCUAUUUAGGUAGCGCCUCGUGAAUUCAUCUCCGGGGUAGAGCACUGUUUCGGCUAGGGGGCCAUCCCGGCUUACCAACCCGAUGCAAACUGCGAAUACCGGAGAAUGUUAUCACGGGAGACACACGGCGGGUGCUAACGUCCGUCGUGAAGAGGGAAACAACCCAGACCGCCAGCUAAGGUCCCAAAGUCAUGGUUAAGUGGGAAACGAUGUGGGAAGGCCCAGACAGCCAGGAUGUUGGCUUAGAAGCAGCCAUCAUUUAAAGAAAGCGUAAUAGCUCACUGGUCGAGUCGGCCUGCGCGGAAGAUGUAACGGGGCUAAACCAUGCACCGAAGCUGCGGCAGCGACACUGUGUGUUGUUGGGUAGGGGAGCGUUCUGUAAGCCUGCGAAGGUGGCCUGUGAGGGUUGCUGGAGGUAUCAGAAGUGCGAAUGCUGACAUAAGUAACGAUAAAGCGGGUGAAAAGCCCGCUCGCCGGAAGACCAAGGGUUCCUGUCCAACGUUAAUCGGGGCAGGGUGAGUCGACCCCUAAGGCGAGGCCGAAAGGCGUAGUCGAUGGGAAACGGGUUAAUAUUCCCGUACUUGGUGUUACUGCGAAGGGGGACGGAGAAGGCUAUGUUGGCCGGGCGACGGUUGUCCCGGUUUAAGCGUGUAGGUGUGUGUUCCGGUAAAUCCGGUUCACUUUAACACUGAGGCGUGACGACGAGGCACUACGGUGCUGAAGCAACAAAUGCCCUGCUUCCAGGAAAAGCCUCUAAGCAUCAGGUAACAUCAAAUCGUACCCCAAACCGACACAGGUGGUCAGGUAGAGAAUACCAAGGCGCUUGAGAGAACUCGGGUGAAGGAACUAGGCAAAAUGGUGCCGUAACUUCGGGAGAAGGCACGCUGACACGUAGGUGAAGUGAUUUACUCAUGGAGCUGAAGUCAGUCGAAGAUACCAGCUGGCUGCAACUGUUUAUUAAAAACACAGCACUGUGCAAACACGAAAGUGGACGUAUACGGUGUGACGCCUGCCCGGUGCCGGAAGGUUAAUUGAUGGGGUCAGCGCAAGCGAAGCUCCUGAUCGAAGCCCCGGUAAACGGCGGCCGUAACUAUAACGGUCCUAAGGUAGCGAAAUUCCUUGUCGGGUAAGUUCCGACCUGCACGAAUGGCGUAAUGAUGGCGGCUGUCUCCACCCGAGACUCAGUGAAAUUGAACUCGCUGUGAAGAUGCAGUGUACCCGCGGCAAGACGGAAAGACCCCGUGAACCUUUACUAUAGCUUGACACUGAACAUUGAGCCUUGAUGUGUAGGAUAGGUGGGAGGCUUUGAAGCGUGGACGCCAGUCUGCGUGGAGCCGACCUUGAAAUACCACCCUUUAAUGUUUGAUGUUCUAACGUGGACCCGUGAUCCGGGUUGCGGACAGUGUCUGGUGGGUAGUUUGACUGGGGCGGUCUCCUCCUAAAGAGUAACGGAGGAGCACGAAGGUUGGCUAAUCCGGUCGGACAUCAGGAGGUUAGUGCAAUGGCAUAAGCCAGCUUGACUGCGAGCGUGACGGCGCGAGCAGGUGCGAAAGCAGGUCAUAGUGAUCCGGUGGUUCUGAAUGGAAGGGCCAUCGCUCAACGGAUAAAAGGUACUCCGGGGAUAACAGGCUGAUACCGCCCAAGAGUUCAUAUCGACGGCGGUGUUUGGCACCUCGAUGUCGGCUCAUCACAUCCUCGGGGCUGAAGUAGGUCCCAAGGGUAUGGCUGUUCGCCAUUUAAAGUGGUACGCGAGCUGGGUUUAGAACGUCGUGAGACAGUUCGGUCCCUAUCUGCCGUGGGCGCUGGAGAACUGAGGGGGGCUGCUCCUAGUACGAGAGGACCGGAGUGGACGCAUCACUGGUGUUCGGGUUGUCAUGCCAAUGGCACUGCCCGGUAGCUAAAUGCGGAAGAGAUAAGUGCUGAAAGCAUCUAAGCACGAAACUUGCCCCGAGAUGAGUUCUCCCUGAGACUUAAAGUCUCCUGAAGGAACGUUGAAGACGACGACGUUGAUAGGCCGGGUGUGUAAGCGCAGCGAUGCGUUGAGCUAACCGGUACUAAUGAACCGUGAGGCUUAACCUUACAACGCCGAAG